GUGAAAAGUCUGACUUCAGUAGCCCAUUGGACAGGGAAUCCUACACCUUCCAUCCACUCAGUUAAAUAAUAAGCAGAUUUAAAAGAAUCACAGAAUAUGCCUCUGGACCUGACAUGAUUCUUUGCAUCGCUUCGCUAAGGUGGCACAGCUCUGAAACACCAAUGUCGAGAGUGUAUCCAGACAGCACAAGAAUGGCUGCUUUUGAACACUGGUGUGAUGAGUGAACCAGU
Chroicocephalus ridibundus (black-headed gull) is the source of this 230-nucleotide long non-coding RNA. RefSeq lists it as uncharacterized. The transcript has 3 exons. NCBI's taxonomy places the organism in Eukaryota, Metazoa, Chordata, Aves, Charadriiformes, Laridae. The record is from RefSeq and is a predicted model, not a curated record.